Molecule: ribosomal RNA, 582 nt
Filed under: uncultured bacterium
Lineage: Bacteria
Description: partial 16S ribosomal RNA
Rfam family: Bacterial small subunit ribosomal RNA
Source: RNAcentral
UGGGGAAUUUUUGGAAAUGGCGAAGCCUGAUCCAGCAAUGCCGCGUGUGUGAAGAAGGCCUUCGGGUUGUAAAGCACUUUUGUCCGGAAAGAAAUCCUUGGCUCUAAUACAGUCGGGGGAUGACGGUACCGGAAGAAUAAGCACCGGCUAACUACGUGCCAGCAGCCGCGGUAAUACGUAGGGUGCAAGCGUUAAUCGGAAUUACUGGGCGUAAAGCGUGCGCAGGCGGUUUGCUAAGACCGAUGUGAAAUCCCCGGGCUCAACCUGGGAACUGCAUUGGUGACUGGCAGGCUAGAGUAUGGCAGAGGGGGGUAGAAUUCCACGUGUAGCAGUGAAAUGCGUAGAGAUGUGGAGGAAUACCGAUGGCGAAGGCAGCCCCCUGGGCCAAUACUGACGCUCAUGCACGAAAGCGUGGGGAGCAAACAGGAUUAGAUACCCUGGUAGUCCACGCCCUAAACGAUGUCAACUAGUUGUUGGGGGAUUCAUUUCCUUAGUAACGUAGCUAACGCGUGAAGUUGACCGCCUGGGGGAGUACGGUCGCAAGAUUAAAACUUAAAUGAAUUGACGGGGUCAUAGCUGUUU